RNAcentral lists this ribosomal RNA (253 nucleotides) under uncultured bacterium. RNAcentral describes it as "partial 16S ribosomal RNA". It matches the Rfam family "Bacterial small subunit ribosomal RNA", at positions 524 to 776 of the family's 1533-position model. The record is from RNAcentral.
UACAGAGGUGGCAAGCGUUGUUCGGAAUUACUGGGCGUAAAGGGCGCGUAGGCGGCCUUCUAAGUCAGACGUGAAAUCCCCAGGCUUAACUUGGGAACUGCGUCUGAUACUGGGAGGCUUGAGUGCGGGAGAGGGAUGUGGAAUUCCAGGUGUAGCGGUGAAAUGCGUAGAUAUCUGGAGGAACACCUGCGGCGAAGGCGGGUUGCUGGGCCGACACUGACGCUGAGGCGCGAAAGCCAGGGGAGCGAACGGG